Molecule: ribosomal RNA, 226 nt
Filed under: Salmonella enterica
Lineage: Bacteria; Pseudomonadati; Pseudomonadota; Gammaproteobacteria; Enterobacterales; Enterobacteriaceae
Description: partial 23S ribosomal RNA
Rfam family: Bacterial large subunit ribosomal RNA
Source: RNAcentral
CGGGUUGUCAUGCCAAUGGCACUGCCCGGUAGCUAAAUGCGGAAGAGAUAAGUGCUGAAAGCAUCUAAGCACGAAACUUGCCCCGAGAUGAGUUCUCCCUGAGACUUUAGAUCUCCUGAAGGAACGUUGAAGACGACGACGUUGAUAGGCCGGGUGUGUAAGCGCAGCGAUGCGUUGAGCUAACCGGUACUAAUGAACCGUGAGGCUUAACCUUACAACGCCGAAG